Molecule: ribosomal RNA, 468 nt
Filed under: uncultured bacterium
Lineage: Bacteria
Description: partial 16S ribosomal RNA
Rfam family: Bacterial small subunit ribosomal RNA
Source: RNAcentral
GACGAACGCUGGCGGCGUGCUUAACACAUGCAAGUCGAACGGAAAGGCCCUGCUUUUGUGGGGUGCUCGAGUGGCGAACGGGUGAGUAACACGUGAGUAACCUGCCCUUGACUUUGGGAUAACUUCAGGAAACUGGGGCUAAUACCGGAUAGGAGCUCCUGCUGCAUGGUGGGGGUUGGAAAGUUUCGGCGGUUGGGGAUGGACUCGCGGCUUAUCAGCUUGUUGGUGGGGUAGUGGCUUACCAAGGCUUUGACGGGUAGCCGGCAUGGGAGGGUGACCGGCCACAUUGGGACUGAGGUACGGCCCAGACUCCUACGGGAGGCAGCAGUGGGGAAUAUUGCACAAUGGGCGGGAGCGUGAUGCGGCAACGCCGCGUGCGGGGUGACGGCCUUCGGGUUGUAAACCGCUUUCGCCUAUGACGAAGCGUGAGUGACGGUAAUGGGUAAAGAAGCACCGGCUAACUACGUG